RNAcentral lists this ribosomal RNA (1068 nucleotides) under Bacillus subtilis. RNAcentral describes it as "bacterial SSU rRNA". It matches the Rfam family "Bacterial small subunit ribosomal RNA", at positions 39 to 1052 of the family's 1533-position model. The record is from RNAcentral. Lineage: Bacteria; Bacillati; Bacillota; Bacilli; Caryophanales; Bacillaceae.
GCAGCGCAGCUAUACAUGCAGUCGAGCGGACAGAUGGGAGCUUGCUCCCUGAUGUUAGCGGCGGACGGGUGAGUAACACGUGGGUAACCUGCCUGUAAGACUGGGAUAACUCCGGGAAACCGGGGCUAAUACCGGAUGGUUGUUUGAACCGCAUGGUUCAAACAUAAAAGGUGGCUUCGGCUGCCACUUACAGAUGGACCCGCGGCGCAUUAGCUAGUUGGUGAGGUAACGGCUCACCAAGGCGACGAUGCGUAGCCGACCUGAGAGGGUGAUCGGCCACACUGGGACUGAGACACGGCCCAGACUCCUACGGGAGGCAGCAGUAGGGAAUCUUCCGCAAUGGACGAAAGUCUGACGGAGCAACGCCGCGUGAGUGAUGAAGGUUUUCGGAUCGUAAAGCUCUGUUGUUAGGGAAGAACAAGUACCGUUCGAAUAGGGCGGUACCUUGACGGUGCCUAACCCAAAAGCCACGGUUAAUUACUUGCCACCAGCCGCGGUAAUACGUAGGUGGCAAGCGUUGUCCGGAAUUAUUGGGCGUAAAGGGCUCGCAGGCGGUUUCUUAAGUCUGAUGUGAAAGCCCCCGGCUCACCCGGGGAGGGUCAUUGGAAACUGGGGAACUUGAGUGCAGAAAGAGGAGAGUGAAAUUCCACGUGUAGCGGUGAAAUGCGUAGAGAUGUGGAGGAACCCCGGUGGCGAAGGCGACUCUCUGGUCUGUAACUGACGCUGAGGAGCGAAAUCGUGGGGAGCAAAACAGGAUUAGAUACCCUGGGUAGUCCACGCCGUAAACAAUAAGUGCUAAGUGUAAGAGGGGUUUCCGCCCUUUAGUGCUGCAGCAUACGCAUUAAGCAUCUCCGCCUGGGGGAGUACGGCGCAGAACUGAACCUCAAAGAAAUUGACGGGGGCCCGCCACACGCGGUGGACCAUGUGUUUAUUCGAAACCACCCGAAAACCCUUACCAAGCUCUGACUCCCUCUGACACCCUAGAGAAAAGACUGUUCUCUCUCCUGACGAACGGACUAGUCGGUCAUGAUGUCUCAUCUCUCGUCACGGAAGAAUGUGUAUAAUCGU